This 253-nucleotide ribosomal RNA is filed under the name uncultured bacterium. RNAcentral describes it as "partial 16S ribosomal RNA". It matches the Rfam family "Bacterial small subunit ribosomal RNA", at positions 524 to 776 of the family's 1533-position model. The record is from RNAcentral.
UACGAAGGGUGCAAACGUUGCUCGGAAUCACUGGGCGUAAAGGGCGCGUAGGCGGCUUUAUAAGUCGGGGGUGAAAGCCUGUGGCUCAACCACAGAAUUGCCUUCGAUACUGUAGAGCUUGAGACCGGAAGAGGUAAGUGGAACUGCGAGUGUAGAGGUGAAAUUCGUAGAUAUUCGCAAGAACACCAGUGGCGAAGGCGGCUUACUGGUCCGGUUCUGACGCUGAGGCGCGAAAGCGUGGGGAGCAAACAGG